Molecule: long non-coding RNA, 823 nt
Filed under: Lathyrus oleraceus (garden pea)
Lineage: Eukaryota; Viridiplantae; Streptophyta; Magnoliopsida; Fabales; Fabaceae
Description: Pisum sativum (pea) long non-coding RNA (PSAT_LNC008980)
Source: RNAcentral
GUCAUAGUCAUUUCAUUCAAACAAUUGGGCAUUGCAUUCAUAAUGUAGCAUAUACAUAAAUCAUUAUAAAAAGAAAUAAAAAAUUCUAUUUUUUAGAAAAGUUGACUUUUGGUCAACCAGUUGACCAAAGUCAACCAUUGCAUUUCUGCACCCUAAAGUCCUAAUACUGAUCACAUUUUAUCAUGGCAUUGAUUUAUUGAUGAUCCAUGGUCACACUUCCUCCAUUGAUCAAGAAAUUCCAUUGUUUUGCAAAUUUGGUCAUUAUGCCUUGAAACUUGCUUUUCUUGCCUUGCAUAUUGACUUGCAACCUUGCCCACCAUACCUACAUCAAAGCCAGAAUUCUGCAGCAAAACCAAUCAUGCAUUCACCAACAAUCAACCAUUCAAACCAUUAGCAUAAUAUACCCAAAUGCAAUGCACAUUUCAAAUAUUCAAUCCAUAAGCAAACCUUGGAAAUCAGACUAUCCAUACUUGAUAAAAGCAUAUCACAACAACACUUACCAUUGUUAUCAUGCAUCAAUCAUCAAGCAAGGGACUUAGCAUCCUGCAGCAAUAACCAUGCAGGCAAUACAACAAACCACCAUGCAGCAUGUGCAAGGCAAUUUCAGGUCUGCAACCAAGCUUGCUAGGAGCCUGCACCAGUUAAGCCAGUUGGACAUGUUAUCCUACAAAAAGCAACAAAGCAUAAACCAUAGACCUGUAGCACAUCCAAACAACAAGCUCCUGCAGCAAGCCAUGACCAAGAUCAUUUUAUAUUCGAGUUGCAGCCAUACAUAAUAACACUCAGCAAAUCAUACAAACCAGUCCUGCAAUCAAUCCAUAAA